Molecule: ribosomal RNA, 1319 nt
Filed under: Zschokkella nova
Lineage: Eukaryota; Metazoa; Cnidaria; Myxozoa; Bivalvulida; Myxidiidae
Description: eukaryotic LSU rRNA
Rfam family: Eukaryotic large subunit ribosomal RNA
Source: RNAcentral
ACCCGCUGAACUUAAGCAUAUCACUAAGGGCAGGAUAAGAAAACAACUGUGAUUCUCAUAGUAACUGCGAGUGAAGUGAGAAGAGCCCAACGUUAAAAGCUAUAUCUCUAACGGGAUAUCGCAUUGUAACGUAUAGAUGUGUUCUCAAGGUGAAAGCUUACGUCAAAGUUACAUAGAGCGGUACGCCAAAGAGGGUGAGAGCCCCGUAUGAGACGUAAGCAUUAAUUUUGCCAAGUAAACACAAUCUAAGAGUCGUGUUGUUUGGGAUUGCAACACUAAGUAGGUGGUAAACUUCACCUAAGGCUAAAUACAUACACGAGACCGAUAGCAAACAAGUACCGUGAGGGAAAGUUGAAAAGUACUCUGAAAAGACUGUGAAAAGCACGUGAAACUGUUCAUGGGGAAGCAGACGGUAGAAUCGAAGCAUGCUGUUGAUUGCUCUGAUGUUGCGAGUUCAACUCGUACACAUUGGGGUAUCUCAAUAGUGUAGCGCGCUGAGCUUGUCGUGUUUUACGUCUUGCACGUAGUAAAUGUACGCCGAUGGUUUUAGUGCAGUAAUCGAGGUGUUGAAUGAUCAACAUCAGACUUUGCUGUAUAUUUCCACUCGCUAUAGGUACAUAACAUGGCAAUGGCCAAUAUGAAAGGCGAUCUAUGGAAGUGAUUGAGUGGUAUUUAUGCUGGUACGUUGUUAAACUACUUACGUGUAUUUACUGCUUGAUUGCCAAAUAGAUCUACUCUCAGCGAGAUAUGCUGCUGUCUGACCCGUCUUGAAACACGGACCAAGGAGGCUAACGUAUACGCGAGUCAAAGGGAUACGCUUCGGCGUUGUAUUUGAAACCCUAUGGCGUAACGAAAGUAAAAAGCGACAUCUCCACAUGAGAUGAUUAAUGGUGGAGAGCAUCGCUGGCCAGUCGAGUUCGCUGGGACUAUGAUUGAGCAGGAGCGUAUGCGAUAGGACCCGAAAGAUGGUGAACUAUGCCUGAGUAGGGCAAAGUCAGAGGAAACUCUGAUGGAGGCUCGAAGCGGUUCUGACGUGCAAUUCGAUCGUCAAACUUGGGUAUAGGGGCGAAAGACUAAUCGAACCAUCUAGUAGCUGGUUCCCUCCGAAAUAUCCCUCAGGAUAGCUGGAGCCUGAACCAAAAGCAGUUUCAUCGGGUAGAGCGAGUGAUUAAAGGUAUUGGAGUCAUAACAGACUCUAACCUCUUCUCAAACUGCGAACCGGUGAUAAAAGUGGCGUUGCUUGAUUGAACGCUAACUUUAGAAUGCUAGGGCUCCAAGUGGGCCGUUUCUGGUAAGCAGAACUGGCGAUGCGGGAUGAA